GACGAACGCUGGCGGCGUGCCUAAUACAUGCAAGUUGAGCGCUGAAGGUUGGUACUUGUACCAACUGGAUGAGCAGCGAACGGGUGAGUAACGCGUGGGGAAUCUGCCUUUGAGCGGGGGACAACAUUUGGAAACGAAUGCUAAUACCGCAUAAAAACUUUAAACACAAGUUUUAAGUUUGAAAGAUGCAAUUGCAUCACUCAAAGAUGAUCCCGCGUUGUAUUAGCUAGUUGGUGAGGUAAAGGCUCACCAAGGCGAUGAUACAUAGCCGACCUGAGAGGGUGAUCGGCCACAUUGGGACUGAGACACGGCCCAAACUCCUACGGGAGGCAGCAGUAGGGAAUCUUCGGCAAUGGACGAAAGCCUGACCGAGCAACGCCGCGUGAGUGAAGAAGGUUGUCGGAUCGUAAAACUCUGUUGGUAGAGAAGAACGUUGGUGAGAGUGGAAAGCUCAUCAAGUGACGGUAACUACCCAGAAAGGGACGGCUAACUACGUG
RNAcentral lists this ribosomal RNA (497 nucleotides) under uncultured bacterium. RNAcentral describes it as "partial 16S ribosomal RNA". It matches the Rfam family "Bacterial small subunit ribosomal RNA", at positions 28 to 507 of the family's 1533-position model. The record is from RNAcentral.